This 460-nucleotide ribosomal RNA is filed under the name uncultured bacterium. RNAcentral describes it as "partial 16S ribosomal RNA". It matches the Rfam family "Bacterial small subunit ribosomal RNA", at positions 338 to 795 of the family's 1533-position model. The record is from RNAcentral.
CCUACGGGAGGCUGCAGUGAGGAAUAUUGGUCAAUGGACGAGAGUCUGAACCAGCCAAGUCGCGUGAAGGAUGAAUGCCCUAUGGGUUGUAAACUUCUUUUGUCUGGGAAUAAAGUGUUCCACGUGUGGGAGUUUGUAUGUACCAUAUGAAUAAGGAUCGGCUAACUCCGUGCCAGCAGCCGCGGUAAUACGGAGGAUCCGAGCGUUAUCCGGAUUUAUUGGGUUUAAAGGGUGCGUAGGUGGGUUGUUAAGUCAGUUGUGAAAGUUUGAGGCUCAACCGUAAAAUUGCAGUUGAAACUGGCAGUCUUGAGUACACGAGAGGUAGGCGGAAUUCGUGGUGUAGCGGUGAAAUGCUUAGAUAUCACGAAGAACUCCGAUUGCGAAGGCAGCUCACCGGACUGCAACUGACACUGAGGCUCGAAAGUGUGGGUAUCAAACAGGAUUAGAUACCCGAGUAGUC